GGUGCGGCCAACCGACAUGGGGCUGUCUCUUCACUCUCCCUCCCGUCAUUUGAUUUGUCGGGGCUGGGAUGCUCGUGAUCGGUUGCCUGUGCGGCUCUACCCUGCUGUGGGUAGCGAAGUUGUCCCUCGAUUGAUAUUUGCUGCCUCUCUGACAUUUUUUUGUCGUUUUGGCAGCCGAAAUGAUGGCGAAAUCCUUGUGCAGGUGCGUGGUCGAAUGUCCCCGUAGCUGUAACUUGGAAUUUUGCUGGCUCUCACGGACGCAGUGCCCAGUGCUGGCUCUGCGUGGCUUUGCCCCGCAGACUUCGGGAGGUCCCUUGUACGAAUCACUGCGAUCAGAUGCCGUUUGUCGUGUUGCUUGUUUGGCACGCAAAUCGUAUUGUUCUGUCCGGAGUCGGGAUGACGAAAGUCAGAACGAAGUGUCUGGGGCGUGCUUGCGUACACGGGGAAUGCCUCUCCGAUCGUACGAGCAGCGAUUUCCGGCUCGCGUCCUGCGAAGGCCCGCCCGUCCGGGCCGGUGCCGGAGCUG
RNAcentral lists this unclassified non-coding RNA (526 nucleotides) under Carex radiata. RNAcentral's name for it is "partial external transcribed spacer". The record is from RNAcentral. Lineage: Eukaryota; Viridiplantae; Streptophyta; Magnoliopsida; Poales; Cyperaceae.